This 466-nucleotide ribosomal RNA is filed under the name Escherichia coli. Its description in RNAcentral is "bacterial LSU rRNA". It matches the Rfam family "Bacterial large subunit ribosomal RNA", at positions 76 to 581 of the family's 2925-position model. The record is from RNAcentral. Lineage: Bacteria; Pseudomonadati; Pseudomonadota; Gammaproteobacteria; Enterobacterales; Enterobacteriaceae.
CGUCGGUAAGGUGAUAUGAACCGUUAUAACCGGCGAUUUCCGAAUGGGGAAACCCAGUGUGUUUCGACACACUAUCAUUAACUGAAUCCAUAGGUUAAUGAGGCGAACCGGGGGAACUGAAACAUCUAAGUACCCCGAGGAAAAGAAAUCAACCGAGAUUCCCCCAGUAGCGGCGAGCGAACGGGGAGGAGCCCAGAGCCUGAAUCAGUGUGUGUGUUAGUGGAAGAGUCUGGAAAGGCGCGCGAUACAGGGUGACAGCCCCGUACACAAAAAUUCACAUGCUGUGAGCUCGAUGAGUAGGGCGGGACACGUGGUAUCCUGUCUGAAUAUGGGGGGACCAUCCUCCAAGGCUAAAUACUCCUGACUGACCGAUAGUGAACCAGUACCGUGAGGGAAAGGCGAAAAGAACCCCGGCGAGGGGAGUGAAAAAGAACCUGAAACCGUGUACGUACAAGCAGUGGGAGCA